RNAcentral lists this long non-coding RNA (838 nucleotides) under Elaeis guineensis (African oil palm). RNAcentral's name for it is "long non-coding RNA (EGUI_LNC001492)". Lineage: Eukaryota; Viridiplantae; Streptophyta; Magnoliopsida; Arecales; Arecaceae. The record is from RNAcentral.
GGGGGGUGGGGUGUGGGGAAAGAAGAAAAACAAUAUUGAAUGGUAAGAAAUUAUAGUGCAAAAGUUAAAAGAUUUGUAACAACUCCCAUGUCACCCUUCUUGAAAAUCUUCCCCGAGAGAUAGAUGUGGUAGAACUCUUCUAACAAAUAAUUUCUCCUCCUCGGAGGGUCUCUUGCAAGAAUCCAGAUGUUGUGAGGUAAGACGAUCACGAACCUGUGCUAUCUUUUUCGACCUCUUCCUUGAUUUUCAACAUCCACUCGGGUCUCAAUCUCCUCAACUUCUGCUUUACGGGCUUGCUAUCCGGGAAUCACUCGCCCUAAUGAUUAAAGAAGGAGAGGCUUAACAGACACUUAAUUGCUUCUUUAUCGACUUUAGUCCGAAGAUCACUCGUUGGAGGCUUUCACUCACGGAGUUGCGACGGGCCGCUAGUCCCCUGGUUCCUACGGGACUCCAUAUGGAUAGGUUCGGAGAACCAGCUACCCAUUUGACAGCCACUCAGACCAUCUAACGACACGGUAGGGCAAGCCGGAUGCAGGGAGGUGUGGUUAUUUUAAUACAUUUCUCAGUGUGUUGAUGUUUCAUUGAAGAAUUUCUUGGCUGGCUUCUCGUCUUUUCAAGUUAAUUUUUAUAUCAAAUCUCAAUCUAAAAAAAAGAAAAAAAAGGAAAAAAAAACAGAUUGAUCGGAUACUUGUUGGACCAUCUUAUUAUAUAUUGAAAAUUCAGCCGUCCAUCUCUACUACAAGAGCUGUUGCAGUUUGGAACUUUGAGGGAUCAGUGUUGCAGGUCAACCUCCGGCUAACCAAUCAACAGAAAUACUUGUUUCAUAUCUAAUAGGUGC